This 277-nucleotide long non-coding RNA is filed under the name Ictidomys tridecemlineatus (thirteen-lined ground squirrel). RNAcentral's name for it is "lncRNA (ENSSTOG00000032127.1)". Lineage: Eukaryota; Metazoa; Chordata; Mammalia; Rodentia; Sciuridae. The record is from RNAcentral.
GCGAAGGGAAAGUGCUUUAGAUUCCCUCAGGGACUGAAGUUUCUUUUUCCAUCCCUCUCACCCCACACUACUCAAAUCGGACAGCGGUUGCCACAGUCUGCAAAAAGUAGAAGGAUUCACUGCCAGUUUUCACUUUCGAGAUGGCAGUAAGCUCACCACGCAGAUUUCCCCGAUGAAAAACGUCUGGAUGUGAACUCAUGAAAAACAAGGAACCGGCAGCCGUCAUCAAGGGAAGGUAUAUAUUUUAAAUUCUUUUGGGGGGUCAGGAUUUCUCUUG